UCAAACUGGAGAGUUUGAUCCUGGCUCAGAGCGAACGUUUGCGGCGGGCCUAACACAUGCAAGUCGAACGGGCUAGCAAUAGUCAGUGGCGCACGGGUGCGUAACACGUAGGUAAUCAACCCCUCGGUU
RNAcentral lists this ribosomal RNA (129 nucleotides) under Nannocystis exedens. RNAcentral describes it as "16S rRNA. Bacterial SSU". It matches the Rfam family "Bacterial small subunit ribosomal RNA", at positions 1 to 138 of the family's 1533-position model. Lineage: Bacteria; Pseudomonadati; Myxococcota; Nannocystales; Nannocystaceae. The record is from RNAcentral.